GAUGAAGAACGCAGUGAAAUGCGAUAAGUAAUGUGAAUUGCAGAAUUCAGUGAAUCAUCGAAUCUUUGAACGCACAUUGCGCCCCUUGGUAUUCCAUGGGGCAUGCCUGUUCGAGCGUCAUUUGUACCCUCAAGCUUUGCUUGGUGUUGGGCGUCUUGUCUUGUAUUAGACUCGCCUUAAAGUCAUUGGCAGCCAGUGUUUUUGGUAGUAAGCGCAGCACAUUUUGCGUCUUAGUCCUUGAAUCGUGGCAUCCAUGAAGCCUUUUUUCACUUUUGACCUCGGAUCAGGUAGGGAUACCCGCUGAACUUAAGCAUAUCAAUAAGCGGAGGA
Molecule: unclassified non-coding RNA, 330 nt
Filed under: soil metagenome
Description: partial contains 5.8S ribosomal RNA, internal transcribed spacer 2, and large subunit ribosomal RNA
Rfam family: 5.8S ribosomal RNA (bases 1-120)
Source: RNAcentral